Molecule: long non-coding RNA, 523 nt
Organism: Lolium perenne
Lineage: Eukaryota; Viridiplantae; Streptophyta; Magnoliopsida; Poales; Poaceae
Source: RefSeq, a predicted model, not a curated record
GCUGUGAUCCCAUCCAAGGGACUCUCGUGGAGUCGUGUGGUAUAUACAGUAGUAGACCGUACCUUAGCCCCAACACAAGCGGCCGGGAGCGAGGAGGGAUCGAUCGAUCGGAGAUGGUGCAGAAACAUCUCCUCAAGCUGCUCAUCAUGGCUUUCGUCCUCAUCUCUGCUUUCUCGGCUGUCUCCGUGCAGGGAGGGAGAAGAUAUGAUUCAAAUGAUCCUGUCGGAAGGCCUUCUGCCGAUGCAAGCGGCCAGCCCUAUAUUGGCCGCGGAUGUCGCUAUAUGUACCACUACCAGUGCAACCCACCUGCUGCAGCACCAUAAGUUACGAGCAAGUCUAUUCGAUUACCAGUUAAAACCAGACGGCAUCAUGAAGAAUAUCAACAUAAUACUAUAAUACUGGAUAACUAUAUGUAGGUGCUUUUAAUUUAAACUAGACCUGUAAGGUCUCGAACUCUUUUGUUGCGCGCAUUCAAAAUUAGUACUCCUUCAGUUUAUUAAUAUAAGGCGUUUUAGCAAGCUAA